RNAcentral lists this transfer RNA (85 nucleotides) under Felis catus (domestic cat). It matches the Rfam family "tRNA". From Rfam's summary of the family: Transfer RNA (tRNA) molecules are approximately 80 nucleotides in length. Their secondary structure includes four short double-helical elements and three loops (D, anti-codon, and T loops). Further hydrogen bonds mediate the characteristic L-shaped molecular structure. tRNAs have two regions of fundamental functional importance: the anti-codon, which is responsible for specific mRNA codon recognition, and the 3' end, to which the tRNAs corresponding amino acid is attached (by aminoacyl-tRNA synthetases). tRNAs cope with the degeneracy of the genetic code in two manners: having more than one tRNA (with a specific anti-codon) for a particular amino acid; and 'wobble' base-pairing, i.e. permitting non-standard base-pairing at the 3rd anti-codon position. The record is from Rfam by way of RNAcentral. Lineage: Eukaryota; Metazoa; Chordata; Mammalia; Carnivora; Felidae.
GCCCGGGUGGCUCAGUCGGUUGAGCAUCUGACUUCGGCUCAGGUCACGAUCUCGCGGUUCGUGGGUUCGAGCCCCGCGUCGGGCU